This is a non-coding RNA of Canis lupus familiaris (dog), 84 nucleotides long. Lineage: Eukaryota; Metazoa; Chordata; Mammalia; Carnivora; Canidae. The record is from Rfam.
GCCUGGAUGGCUCAGCGGUUGAGCAUCUGCCUUUAACUCAGGGCAUGAUCCUGGAGUCCUGGGAUCGAAUCCCACGUCAGGGUC